Molecule: long non-coding RNA, 498 nt
Filed under: Brassica rapa (field mustard)
Lineage: Eukaryota; Viridiplantae; Streptophyta; Magnoliopsida; Brassicales; Brassicaceae
Description: long non-coding RNA (BRAP_LNC001149)
Source: RNAcentral
GUAAAUACAUGAUUAAGGAAUCCGGUUAGUACUAAAAGUUGAUCCAAUAAAACAAGACGCUACUAUUAUUAUAUCUGUAAAACCUGCGAUGUGACGUCGGGCUUUAGAACAAACAGUCGCUUCACCAUCUUCGAACGGUCCUGAUUAGUUCCUCCACUCUCAACAAUCCAACACCACCACACACAUUGACACACAGUUUUUUUUUAUUUUUUUUUAUUUCUAUAAUUUUAUAUAAUAAUUCACCACAUCUAUUCGAUGACGCAAUGUGAUGAAACAUUAAGGGGAUGGACGAAAUUUAAUUGGUAAUCUUAGUCCUAUGAGGUAUAAAUUCUUCGAAUGUAUAGACCUUUAGUUGUGCAUAUAUAAUAUUCUCAAUCAAAUCGAGGCCAUUCAUUUCCUUAGUUUAUAACACUUAACAAAUAGUGUGUUCUGUACAGUUAGGCACAAUUAAGAAAAUUACAUACUUGGGAAUAAGUUAUGAAAGCGAAUAAAGGUCUA